GAUGAACGCUGGCGGCGUGCCUAAUACAUGCAAGUCGAGCGAACAGACGAGGAGCUUGCUCCUCUGACGUUAGCGGCGGACGGGUGAGUAACACGUGGAUAACCUACCUAUAAGACUGGGAUAACUUCGGGAAACCGGAGCUAAUACCGGAUAAUAUAUUGAACCGCAUGGUUCAAUAGUGAAAGACGGUUUUGCUGUCACUUAUAGAUGGAUCCGCGCCGCAUUAGCUAGUUGGUAAGGUAACGGCUUACCAAGGCAACGAUGCGUAGCCGACCUGAGGGGGUGAUCGGCCACACUGGAACUGAGACACGGUCCAGACUCCUACGGGAGGCAGCAGUAGGGAAUCUUCCGCAAGGGGCGAAAGCCUGACGGAGCAACGCCGCGUGAGUGAUGAAGGUCUUCGGAUCGUAAAACUCUGUUAUUAGGGAAGAACAAAUGUGUAAGUAACUAUGCACGUCGUGACGGUACCUAAUCAGAAAGCCACGGCUAACUACG
This 495-nucleotide ribosomal RNA is filed under the name uncultured bacterium. Its description in RNAcentral is "partial 16S ribosomal RNA". It matches the Rfam family "Bacterial small subunit ribosomal RNA", at positions 28 to 505 of the family's 1533-position model. The record is from RNAcentral.